RNAcentral lists this ribosomal RNA (252 nucleotides) under uncultured bacterium. Its description in RNAcentral is "partial 16S ribosomal RNA". It matches the Rfam family "Bacterial small subunit ribosomal RNA", at positions 524 to 776 of the family's 1533-position model. The record is from RNAcentral.
UACGAAGGGUGCAAACGUUGUUCGGAAUUACUGGGCGUAAAGGGCUCGUAGGCGGCCAACUAAGUCCGACGUGAAAUCCCAAAGCUUAACUUGGAACUGCGUCGGAUACUGGAUGGCUUGAAUUCGGGAGAGGGAUGCAGAAUUCCAGGUGUAGCGGUGAAAUGCGUAGAUAUCUGGAGGAAUACCGGUGGCGAAGGCGGCAUCCUGGACCGACAUUGACGCUGAGGAGCGAAAGCUAGGGGAGCAAACGGG